Long non-coding RNA from Bufo bufo (common toad), 236 nucleotides. RefSeq lists it as uncharacterized. The record is from RefSeq and is a predicted model, not a curated record. Lineage: Eukaryota; Metazoa; Chordata; Amphibia; Anura; Bufonidae. The transcript is spliced from 3 exons.
AAAUAUUAGCGCAGCGCCCGCCCGCCGCCCGAGCCAUAAUUAUUCAUGCUGCGCAGCGCAGCGCCCGCCCCCUCUCUCACGUGAUCCUCUUCUGACUCCGAGUCCAGGCACUGCAGUUUCCAUAGCAGCGCACGCCGCACAGAUCAACGAUGAUCAUCAUUUGAGUCUGACUGACUGUAAGCCCGCCCCCAGCCAGCAGCAGGACUGAUAGCCGAGCCCAGAGCUGUAAACCUGGC